AUUGAACGCUGGCGGCAGGCCUAACACAUGCAAGUCGAGCGCGAAAGCACUUCGGUGUGAGUAAAGCGGCGACGGGUGAGUAACGCGUAGGAAUCUACCUAGUAUGGGGGACAACCCGGGGAAACUCGAGCUAAUACCGCAUACGCCCUACCGGGGAAAGGCCGGGAUCUUCGGACCGGUCGCUAUUGGAUGAGCCUGCGUAAGAUUAGCUAGUUGGUGGGGUAAAGGCCUACCAAGGCGACGAUCUUUAGCUGGUCUGAGAGGAUGAUCAGCCACACUGGAACUGAGACACGGUCCAGACUCCUACGGGAGGCAGCAGUGGGGAAUAUUGCGCAAUGGGCGAAAGCCUGACGCAGCCAUGCCGCGUGUGUGAAGAAGGCCCUAGGGUUGUAAAGCACUUUCAAUUGGGAGGAAAAGCUAACGACUAAUACUCGUUAGCCCUGACGUUACCUUUAGAAGAAGCACCGGCUAACUCCGUA
RNAcentral lists this ribosomal RNA (479 nucleotides) under uncultured bacterium. RNAcentral's name for it is "bacterial SSU rRNA". It matches the Rfam family "Bacterial small subunit ribosomal RNA", at positions 30 to 507 of the family's 1533-position model. The record is from RNAcentral.